RNAcentral lists this ribosomal RNA (250 nucleotides) under uncultured bacterium. RNAcentral's name for it is "partial 16S ribosomal RNA". It matches the Rfam family "Bacterial small subunit ribosomal RNA", at positions 526 to 775 of the family's 1533-position model. The record is from RNAcentral.
UACGGGGGGCAAGCGUUGUUCGGAAUUACUGGGCGUAAAGGGCUCGCAGGCGGCCGACUAAGUCAGACGUGAAAUCCCUUGGCUUAACCAAGGAAUGGCGUCUGAUACUGGACGGCUUGAAUCCGGGAGAGGGAUGUGGAGUUCCAGGUGUAGCGGUGAAAUGCGUAGAUAUCGUGGAGGAACACCGGUGGCGAAGGCGGCAUCCUGGACCGGUAUGACGCUGAGGAGCGAAAGCCAGGGGAGCAACGGG